AGGAAACUUUUCGGAGCUGUCAAUCAGGGCCCAAUCAGCUGACUGUCAGCUGGGACAGGCUGGCUUAACCCUUUGCGCGCCGCAGCCUCCCGGGGAGGGAGCGAAGCCUGGCGCAAAGUUUGGCGCAAGAGGGGAAGGAGUAGUCCCGAGGGGCUUCGGGAACCCGAGAGGACCCUCUGCUUUACUUCGGAGCGCGAGAGAGGCCUGCCUUCCGGAGCGCCGGCUUGCCCUCCCCUCGCUCUGCCGGGGGAUUGGCCUGUCUCCCCUCCCCGGGAGCCCCCAUCCUCGGGACUGCGAAUUCGCUCGGCAUCUUUUUUCCUCUUUUUUCCACCUUUGGCACCCAGGUGUCUGCUCCGGGGACCUUCCUUCCCCGAGCCGUGGCUGUGCCCGGAGCUCAAACUUGGCCCUUCGAACCAAAGAGCGCAAACUCUUUGUCCCUCUUCCCGGGGCCCGCGCGCUCGGGGGCGCAAGGGUGCUGGGGGCUCAGGGUCCCGACUGUGCGCAGGACGCCACUUCUCCGCGUGCAGCCCGAGUGGUUCCGAGUCCGCGCGGGGAGAAAGCCCGUUUUGUCGCCCUCUUUGAAGGAAGGGAGAUAAGUUGUUCGGGGGCCAUUACGCGCGGGGACUGGCUGCCCGCUGGCGUCGCGUGCCCUAGGAGGGGGGGGGGGGGGAGCGAACGCCUACGCGAGUUAACUCCGCAGAAGCUCAGAGCCUGGUCAGCCGGGCUCUGCCCUUGGGCUUCCAACUCUGGCCCGAGUUCGGCCUUAGACAUUCAUAUUUGUCUCUCUGUCUCUGUCUCUCUCUGUCUCACCCCACCUCCCCCAUAGACACACGCACACUCACGCACACGCUCACCCACCCCCAUAUGAAAUCUGACUCCUGUUUAUCAGGGUCCCGCGCGCCCUUUGCACUUUCACGUUUCACUGAAUUAUUUCAGACUUGGCGCUGGAGAGGAGCAAGGGGUGUUUGUACGUGGGGGUAAACAACACCCCAGCCUUCUCCAACUCCCCUCGAAGGGUUAAAUUUUAAACCGCGGUUUCUCGACCAGCCCGGAAACCCACAGUGGGGGUGGGGUGGGGUGGGGUGGGGGGCUGCCUCUCCCCCUCCCCGUUGCAGAUGCUAAUAACUAUUCAGUUUUCUAGAUGGACUCAUUUAAAGCUUAUGCAAAAAAAAAAAAAAAAAAAGAAAAAAAGAAAGAAAGAAAGAAAGAAAGAAAGAAAGAAAGAAAGAAAGAAAAAGUAAAGAAAAAGAAGAGAAAAGAAAGAACCAACAACUGUUUCUAAGAUUUUAAAGCGAUAGGCAAGUCGGAGAAACCGAGAUUUAUUUGGGGGAAAGCAAGCGUGCGCCAAGCCGACCCAGCUUUUGGAAGACCAGCCCGCCUACUUGGAUGUUGAGACUGUUGAUUUCUCCAAUUAAUGAAAUGCAUUUGGUGUUAAUCAUAUUUAUUUUACUUUAUGGGAGGGGGAGACGCUAGGAGGGCGCACUUAAAAAAAAAAAAAAAUUCUGAAAAGCCUGCAAAAGAAUCCAAGAGUGAAAACUAUUGUUGGAUUUUUACCUCAACAGCGCCACCUUUCGGCAAAGAUCGCUGACUUUCCUGCCAUUUCCUGAUGCCAGUUUUGAAGCCAGGAGGCCCCAAGGCGUUUUCUUGAACAGAAGAGUUCAGAAUUUCCAGUGUCCACCUUUGAGCUGCAAUCAGUUCCCCCUGGCCUCUCUUAAAAGGACCUGAGUGUGCAGGCUUUUGCAGAAUCUGCCUUUCCUGACUCCCGUCUCAUCCUCAAACCUGGGAAGGAGAGCAGGAGGGGCCCAUGAGUUACUGAUGACCUGCUGUCUGCGGUAUAUGUCCCGUCUGAGAGCUUGGUAUUGGCUGUUUGAGUAGACCCGGCCCAGGAGCAUCAGGACUCUGGAGGUAUGGCCGGAACUCUUCAGGUCCGUGUCCCUGACUGUGGACUUCAGGCUCUGCGAAGAGCGGCUGGUCAGGACGAGUCGAGUGAUGCGGGUACUGGCAGACUGGGGUGGGGGCACAUGGGCUGGCCCGGAGACAGCCUGCUGAUUCACCCUCUGACCUCAACCAAGCGUUCCGCUGUCUUCCUCCAACUCAUUUUUCGGGCGGCAAACGGACUGGGCCGCGUGAAGAGGGUAACAAAAAUUCUGGAUCGCACGGAGCGAAUGUUCUCAGCCCUCUGAGGUUGACCGUAGGGUCAGUAAACCGUCUGCAAAGACGAAAGCUGACCUGCUGGAUUGUUGCAGAGCCCUGAUGGGUCAUAAGGACAAAGUCAGAUUGUCUUCGGGGUCGACGUGGCCGAGCCAGGCUGGCAGGGUCGGCAUGGCGGGGCCACGCGCCCCCUGCCUCUCCAGGCCAGGGGAUGCUGUGGUUUGUAGUUAACAACGUUGAAAGCCUUUGGAGGCAGGGCAGGGAGGGAGUAGAGCAGGGAUUUCUGAGCGUGGCUAGGGAAGGAGACACAUCCAGGGGACGCUGUGCUUUGGCACCAGGCCAACACAGGUGUGAAUCCUGCUCCGUCCCAGGGGUGACGCCUGAACAAGUCAGCUGACCUCUCGGCCUUCGUUCGCCUCUUGGGGACGGUCUUGUGAUCACGGUGAGCGUGCGCACCAAGUGGUCGCUAGGUAUCCACCUGCCCCCCCUGGUACGUGCCCACAGAACUCCCUCUUCCCGAAAUGGCAAGGUAUCUGCUGACAUUCUCCACACACCAUUUCCACGUAAGGGCCUUGUGGGCGCCAGGGGGUCAGGAACCAUUUCCCUCCUUCUGGCUUAUGCUCCCGCCUUAAAGCUGCAGUCACCUGCCCUGCGUGUGGCUCCUCUCCCUCUCCCCCUCUGUCGAGCCUUUGCACAACGUCGCUCGCCUGGAUCUCCACCCAUCCCCAUCUUCCUUGCCCUCUGUCCGGUCUCCUGGCUAAUUCUGACUCUCCGUGACAUCCUGGGUUUCUCUUAAAAAGCCUCCCCUGCAUCCUCGUGCCCACCAGCCCCCAGGGCAGGCUGGGCGCCUGGUCUGCGCUUACUGCCUUGGAGUUCUGUGGUACCACGUGAGUUCCCCGCGGACCCUCUGAGCCCCGUGAAGCCAGGACAGCGCCUCUCACCCCUCCUUUGCCUACUACAGUGCUUGGCGCACAGCAGGUGCUCAAUUAAUGUUUAUUAACUGAAAGCCACUGAUAAACACUCGGAUCCCUCCCCACUUUCUUCUUCUUCUUUUUUUUUUUUUUUUUUUAAGUUCUAACGCACACAAUGUCCUGCCAAGUGUCCCAGAAAACCUGACUUUGAUGGGGGCAGGGUGGCUGGCUGUUCUGUUGCAACAUGACUGCUCUUACGCUCACUGCUCACUUAGCCCAAUCGGCCCAUCCCUCAAUUACCAGGAUGCUUAUCUUGUUCACUAAUUAGCCUACGUCUCCCCGAGAUGGCACCGGGUAGAGAACGUGGCUGAGGUUCACGGGCCCUGGAACCAAAGUGGAAAUCGGUAACUCUUGCUGGGAUGGAAUUCUUGAUGAGCGGAGGGCGGUGAUUAAAUACCCGGGUGUGAGCACGGUGGGCUCUCUGUAUCCCAGCACGGACUGCCGUCACCGAAGACAGCCCUGUUCCAGCUUUGAGUCACAGCUGCCUCCUCAGGGCUCCAGGCGCAUGGACAAUAUUUUGUAAUCUUCCAAUAAGAAGGCCAGCCCUCCUCCAUUUCCACAUGCCCAGAUCUUGCUCAGUCCUCAAGGCACACCUCCGUGUCCGAGGUUGCACACGAAGCUCUGAGCGUAGUGACUGGCCUCUAAUAAGCGUUUAAUAAAGCUUAGUUGUUAAUGCAGGG
This is a long non-coding RNA of Leopardus geoffroyi (Geoffroy's cat), 3802 nucleotides long. RefSeq lists it as uncharacterized. Lineage: Eukaryota; Metazoa; Chordata; Mammalia; Carnivora; Felidae. The record is from RefSeq and is a predicted model, not a curated record. The transcript is spliced from 2 exons.